GUCAGAGGUGAAAUUCUUGGAUUUACUGAAGACUAACUACUGCGAAAGCAUUUACCAAGGACGUUUUCAUUAAUCAAGAACGAAAGUUAGGGGAUCGAAGAUGAUCAGAUACCGUCGUAGUCUUAACCAUAAACUAUGCCGACUAGGGAUCGGGCGGUGCCUUUUAUUGGCCCACUCGGCACCUUACGAGAAAUCAAAGUUUUUGGGUUCUGGGGGGAGUAUGGUCGCAAGGCUGAAACUUAAAGGAAUUGACGGAAGGGCACCACCAGGAGUGGAGCCUGCGGCUUAAUUUGACUCAACACGGGGAUACUCACCAGGUCCAGACACAAUAAGGAUUGACAGAUUGAGAGCUCUUUCUUGAUUUUGUGGGUGGUGGUGCAUGGCCGUUCUUAGUUGGUGGAGUGAUUUGUCUGCUUAAUUGCGAUAACGAACGAGACCUUAACCCUUAAAUAGAGUUGCUGGCGUUUGCUGGUAAAUCUUCUUAUGGGGACUAUCGAUUUCAAGUCGAUGGAAGUUUGAGGCAAUAACAGGUCUGUGAUGCCCUUAG
This 547-nucleotide ribosomal RNA is filed under the name uncultured eukaryote. RNAcentral's name for it is "SSU rRNA". It matches the Rfam family "Eukaryotic small subunit ribosomal RNA", at positions 904 to 1476 of the family's 1831-position model. The record is from RNAcentral.